GCACUUUUAAAGGUUAUCGACAUGCCUAACACUGAAUUCAAUCUCGAAAGAAAUAGAUGGAAUCCAAUAUCAGGUGAUCAUCAAAGCCUGAUGUGAUUCCACUUGCUACAGAAUAUCUUAUUAGCUAAUUGUACAUCACAUGUUCAGUUUACAGCUUUGAUAUGACUUACACGAAAUAACUUAAAUUUUAGGACGGGAUCUUGUAAUCCAGCAGUGUAGAAGUUCCAUCGAAGCCUUUCUUGCGGAAAUAGUCUGUAUAUUCCUUCACUGUGGUUGCACGAUACUUUGGAGGAUUACAUUCUGAUAACAAUUCCUUAAUUGGUCCAUAA
RNAcentral lists this unclassified non-coding RNA (329 nucleotides) under Hevea brasiliensis (rubber tree). Lineage: Eukaryota; Viridiplantae; Streptophyta; Magnoliopsida; Malpighiales; Euphorbiaceae. The record is from RNAcentral.